GCCCGGCUAGCUCAAUCGGUAGAGCGUGAGACUCUUAUUUACCCCCCUUAAAGAGAAAAAUCUUCAGGGGCGGUGGAGAGGAACACAGAUAUCUCAAGGUUGUGGGUUCGACCCCCACGUCGGGCU
Molecule: transfer RNA, 126 nt
Filed under: Thermochaetoides thermophila DSM 1495
Lineage: Eukaryota; Fungi; Ascomycota; Sordariomycetes; Sordariales; Chaetomiaceae
Description: Chaetomium thermophilum var. thermophilum DSM 1495 tRNA
Rfam family: tRNA
About the family: Transfer RNA (tRNA) molecules are approximately 80 nucleotides in length. Their secondary structure includes four short double-helical elements and three loops (D, anti-codon, and T loops).
Source: Rfam by way of RNAcentral